AGCGAACGCUGGCGGCAGGCUUAACACAUGCAAGUCGAGCGGGCAUCCUUGUGGUGUCAGCGGCAGACGGGUGAGUAACGCGUGGGAACGUGCCCUUCGGUUCGGAAUAACUCCGGGAAACUUGAGCUAAUACCGGAUACGUGCGAGAGCAGAAAGGUUUAUCUGCCGAAGGAUCGGCCCGCGUCUGAUUAGCUAGUUGGUGAGGUUACGGCUCACCAAGGCGACGAUCAGUAGCUGGUCUGAGAGGAUGAUCAGCCACACUGGGACUGAGACACGGCCCAGACUCCUACGGGAGGCAGCAGUGGGGAAUAUUGGACAAUGGGGGCAACCCUGAUCCAGCCAUGCCGCGUGAGUGAUGACGGCCUUAGGGUUGUAAAGCUCUUUUCUCCGGGACGAUAAUGACGGUACCGGAGGAAUAAGCCCCGGCUAACUUCGUG
Molecule: ribosomal RNA, 437 nt
Filed under: uncultured bacterium
Lineage: Bacteria
Description: partial 16S ribosomal RNA
Rfam family: Bacterial small subunit ribosomal RNA
Source: RNAcentral